RNAcentral lists this ribosomal RNA (502 nucleotides) under uncultured bacterium. RNAcentral describes it as "partial 16S ribosomal RNA". It matches the Rfam family "Bacterial small subunit ribosomal RNA", at positions 30 to 523 of the family's 1533-position model. The record is from RNAcentral.
AUUGAACGCUGGCGGCAGGCUUAACACAUGCAAGUCGAGCGGGGUGAUGGUGCUUGCACUAUCACUUAGCGGCGGACGGGUGAGUAAUGCUUAGGAAUCUGCCUAUUAGUGGGGGACAACAUCUCGAAAGGGAUGCUAAUACCGCAUACGUCCUACGGGAGAAAGCAGGGGAUCACUUGUGACCUUGUGCUAAUAGAUGAGCCUAAGUCGGAUUAGCUAGUUGGUGGGGUAAAGGCCUACCAAGGCGACGAUCUGUAGCGGGUCUGAGAGGAUGAUCCGCCACACUGGGACUGAGACACGGCCCAGACUCCUACGGGAGGCAGCAGAGGGGAAUUUUGGACAAUGGGCGAAAGCCUGAUCCAGCAAUGCCGCGUGUGUGAAGAAGGCCUUCGGGUUGUAAAGCACUUUUGUCCGGAAAGAAAUGGCUCUGGUUAAUGCCUGGGGUCGAUGACGGUACCGGAAGAAUAAGGACCGGCUAACUACGUGCCAGCCGCCGCGGUAA